AACGAACGCUGGCGGCAGGCUUAACACAUGCAAGUCGAACGCCCCGCAAGGGGAGUGGCAGACGGGUGAGUAACGCGUGGGAAUCUACCCAAUUCUUCGGAACAACUGAGGGAAACUUCAGCUAAUACCGGAUGUGCCCUUCGGGGGAAAGAUUUAUCGGAAUUGGAUGAGCCCGCGUUGGAUUAGCUAGUUGGUGGGGU
RNAcentral lists this ribosomal RNA (200 nucleotides) under uncultured bacterium. RNAcentral describes it as "partial 16S ribosomal RNA". It matches the Rfam family "Bacterial small subunit ribosomal RNA", at positions 29 to 258 of the family's 1533-position model. The record is from RNAcentral.